AAAUUGAUCAGUGUGCAGCAAAGUUAUAUUUCAAUUGCAAGAGCAGCCUUCCAGAAAUAAAUAAAUAAAUAAACAAAGGGAUGAGAUUAAGAGCUAACAUCACCACUGUGGAGCUGAUGUCUUCAAAGCUGGAUUGAUUCCACCUGCAUCUAACUAUCUAAGAGCCAAGCACUUAGUCAGUGAGAGUUCUGAAGCUCUCUAUAGGCCUAGGAGAGAAACUGCCCUUCCCUGGAAGUAGAAUAAGCAACUCUGGUGCCUGCUAUCUGCUCCCCCAGAACAUUUCUUUCUUUGAGUCUGUAGUCUUGCUGUUUUCAUGUUGGCAGCUCCUGAUGCACUUCAGUUUACAGCUGUUGGAAUAUGACAGGUUUUCUCAUUGCUGCUUCUGGAGGAGACUGUUCCCUGUUGACCACAGAGGGUAGUCCAUAGAGGCAAGAAAGAGAUAUCUUGGGGGAUGUAUGCACAGAUGAAGAAAGAGAAGAAAGAAUCAUAGAAAAAAGAAACACUAUGCAAGGAUAAAUCACACAGCUGUUAUGAAAGAAGAGCUCUCUUGCAGAUGCUGCUGCCGAUGGGAAAAAAAAAAAGGUAGAUGGUGCCACCGAUGAAAUAUUUAAGGCAACUGGAUGUUAAAAUGGCGAGUUGUAAUGAGACUCAGAUUAAGAAGAGGAGCAGCCUAGCUAGACCAUUAAACUCGCCAUUAAAUCUCAGCGAACCCUUCAAGAAGCCUAAGUCAUGUUCUAAUAUGCUAUAUGCUAUUGCUGAUGACUCCAGUGGGAAAAAAAAACCUGAAAUAGAUUCUAUUUUACCAAAAAGAAUACUAGAAACAGAAGACUGGGCAACACUGCAUAGCUAUUAGUAUGUGUCUAAUCACUGUUUUUCCUGAACGUUCAGAGCAGCCAAACCAAAUAUAUUUUAAAGCAUCUGCUUACCACAAGUGUUAAGUUUUGUAGACCUACAUUUCACACUUAUGAUGAGCACCCUGGAGAAGUCACUAUCAGCUUUCUUUUUAUAUUCUGGAGAUAUCCAGGAGUCCUGGAGGUUUGAAUAUUUUUAUUAGUAUUUUAGGGAAAAGAAGAACUAUGUGCAAAGAUAAAACUAGGGAACAAGAUUCCUUGAGAAAUGCAUGGAAACCUCACCUGCUAUAUCCUGCAGUCUGGAUCUUUUCCUGGGUUCUGAACCAUGGGGUAAUUGCUGGCUCCACAACAGCAGGUAUGCUUCAAGGACAGACCCUGGGCUCCUAGAUGUUGUUCCACCUGGCUGAAAGCCAGGCAUAUUUCUUAGGGUCCCUCUCCCUGAGAUCAGUGUUGAACACUUUGUAUUUGAAGAAUGUGGUUCCUUUUAAUGACAGCCUGUUUGGCUUAAAAUUUUCUGGCUCUUUGUGUUUGGGAAUUCUCUUGAAUGAGCUUACCAAGGCACUUCUUUUGCAUGGCUUUUCUCCAGAAAGCCACUGCCUUUCUUCACUCUGCUGCUAAUGACGGCAUAGCAGAGACACAUACCAGUCUGCUCAUUAGAGACCUGGAGAAACAGAUUGCACAAAAUAGCCUAAUACCAAUGUGGAAAAUGUAAACUUGACAGGGUUUAGAAGGAAGCUAAACAUAGUCUGGCACAAGGAGCUGUGAGAAGCGUAAUGUAAUCGUAUGUUCAUGCUUUUAUUGAGCAUGGAAUUUAUUUGAGAAAGAAGAGUGAAGGAUGCUUCACUCAUAAGUAGUAUUGCUUGUAAGGAGAUAGCUGAUUUCUCAAGUAGAUUGCUUGAUGAAGGAUUGAUAGUUUUUUCUUCAAUUUUGUUUUUUUAUUGUUAUUUUCUUUUCAAAUAGAAACUCUUUCUGUUACAAAUUAUAACCUUUCUUUUCUAAGCA
This 1853-nucleotide long non-coding RNA is filed under the name Coturnix japonica (Japanese quail). Its description in RNAcentral is "lncRNA (ENSCJPG00005001036.1)". The record is from RNAcentral. Lineage: Eukaryota; Metazoa; Chordata; Aves; Galliformes; Phasianidae.